RNAcentral lists this ribosomal RNA (467 nucleotides) under uncultured bacterium. RNAcentral's name for it is "bacterial SSU rRNA". It matches the Rfam family "Bacterial small subunit ribosomal RNA", at positions 24 to 518 of the family's 1533-position model. The record is from RNAcentral.
UCAGGACGAACGCUGGCGGCGUGCUUAACACAUGCAAGUCGAACGGAGUAUUGAAGAAGCUUGCUUAGAGAUACUUAGUGGCGGACGGGUGAGUAACGCGUGAGGAGCUGUCCUAUGCAGGGGGACAACAGCUGGAAACGGCUGCUAAUACCCCAUAAGCCGAGAGGUAAAGGAUCAAUCCGGCAGAGGAGGUACUCGCGUCCUAUCAGCUAGUAGGUGAGGUAACGGCUCACCUAGGCGAAGACGGGUAGCCGGCCUGAGAGGGCGAACGGCCACACUGGAACUGAGAUACGGUCCAGACUCCUACGGGAGGCAGCAGUGGGGAAUAUUGGGCAAUGGGGGAAACCCUGACCCAGCGACGCCGCGUGGGUGAAGAAAUCCUUCGGGAUGUAAAGCCCUGUUGUAUGGGAAGAGCGGAAGACGGUACCAUACGAGGAAGCCCCGGCAAACUACGUGCCAGCCGCUGC